GAUCCUGGCUCAGGACGAACGCUGGCGGUGUGCUUCACACAUGCAAGUCGAACGAGGUAGCAAUACCUAGUGGCGGACGGGUGAGUAACGCGUGGGAAUCUGCCUUUAGAUGGGGGAUAACGGGUCGAAAGACUCGCUAAUACCGCAUAUGACGAAAGUUGAAAGGAGUAAUCCGUCUAAAGAUGAGCCCGCGUCCGAUUAGCUAGUUGGUAGAGUAAAAGCCUACCAAGGCGACGAUCGGUAGCUGGUCUGAGAGGAUGAUCAGCCACAAUGGGACUGAGACACGGCCCAUACUCCUACGGGAGGCAGCAGUGGGAAUUUUACGCAAUGGGCGAAAGCCUGACGUAGCGACACCGCGUGAGCGAAGAAGCCCCUUGGGGUGUAAAGCUCUGUCAGCUGGAACGAAAAAAUGACGGUACCAGCAGAGGAAGCAUCGGCUAACUACGUG
RNAcentral lists this ribosomal RNA (448 nucleotides) under uncultured bacterium. RNAcentral describes it as "bacterial SSU rRNA". It matches the Rfam family "Bacterial small subunit ribosomal RNA", at positions 15 to 507 of the family's 1533-position model. The record is from RNAcentral.